UACGUAGGUCCCAAGCGUUGUCCGGAUUCACUGGGCGUAAAGCGCGCGCAGGCGGCCCUGCAAGUCGGAUGUGAAAGCCCCGGGCUCAACUCGGGGAGGCCAUCCGAAACUGCGAGGCUUGAAGUCGGAAGAGGGGAGUGGAAUUCCCGGUGUAGCGGUAAAAUGCGUAGAUACCGGGAGGAACACCAGUGGCGAAAGCGGCUCCCUGGUCCGAUCUUGACGCUCAGGCGCGAAAGCUAGGGGAGCGACCGGG
RNAcentral lists this ribosomal RNA (253 nucleotides) under uncultured bacterium. Its description in RNAcentral is "partial 16S ribosomal RNA". It matches the Rfam family "Bacterial small subunit ribosomal RNA", at positions 524 to 776 of the family's 1533-position model. The record is from RNAcentral.